CUGCUGUGAUUUUCCUCCGAUUUGAGUUGUUCCAGCCUGGAAGAAUUCCAGGAACAUCCCUUGAAUAGGGAGGACAAGGAGAUGGGGAAACAGGUCUGUCUGCACCCCAGUGGACUGAUGUGCUGCUCAAGGAGGAGAUACCAUCUCUGGAAUCAGAAGAAUAAGGAGAAAUGUCUAUUUGCUCUUCUAUAUUCCUCUUUCUUUGUGCAGUGCUUUCUCUUAAUUUCAAGCAAGAAGGCUCAGUCCCUCCAUCAUUGAAAUAUGGAAACUUCCUUUUGGGACCUCCUGGGCACAGGGACAAAGGCGAAUGACUCCAGGAGGUAGAAGAGAGUGGGUUAUAUAACCUUGUGAACUCUGCCAUGUCAGAAGGUCCAGGAGCUGGAAUCCAUGGCAGAUUCUGUCCAUAGCCAUACAAGCUGAGCCUGGUGAGGAGUCAGCCCUGAGGAGUGACCUGUCAGCAACGAUUCCACCUGGCAACCAAGACAAUAAGUUGUCAGUGGAAGAGACAUUCAUCCCUUAAUUAAUAACCUGGUAGCAAAGAAUGUUUUGUAAUGGUCAUUUUGUAGUUUUCUAACUGGCUACGCCAACUUUUAUCCCAUAGACUGAGGUGGUAGAAGUACCUGUGCUCCAACUUUGGGAGUCUGGAAACUUUGAUUCUUGUUAUAUCUCCCCAGUUAAUAUCCCUUUGCAAAAGCUAAUAACAUGUUAAUGGGUCAAUUGAUAUUGGCACAGAUGGAUAACUGGUGGUUGAUAUGAGGAAAAACUUACCAGACAAGGGUUCAUGAGAAAUUUUAGAAAUCCCCCCUAGGACUUCAGGGUUAUCUCUAGAAUCCUGAGGGAAAAUGUGGCCAGCUGACUUCUGGGGAUCUAAGUUUGUAUUGGGAGAAUAAGUCCAGAGACUCUACUUCUUUCUUCAUUAAAAUUUGAUCACAAUAUUUGCUUUCAAGCAAGAUUCUCCACUGUUUCAGUUGGUUAGUCAACACCUUAUAGCAGUGAUAGUGAACCUUUUAGAGGAGUGGGUGAUAGGAGAAAUGUCCUCAGGCGCCUGUGGAGAGGGGAAGGGGAGCAGCCCAACCCUGUGUCCUUCUGGCUUUCUAGUAAUGAACUCUGGUGAACUCUGUGCUGGGGUGAUGGUGUGUGUGCCCACAGAGAGGCCUCUGAUUGCCCCCCUCUGGCGCAUGUGCCAUAGGUUUGCCACCGUAGCCUUAGAGUAAUCCUCUUAUAGUGUGCAUUGAGUUCUAUACUAAAUACAAUGGGGACCUGAAUUAAGAGAUUGUGAUAUAAGAUGGUCAGAAGGCUAAAAAAAAAAAAGAAAUAAGCACAGAGGGGCAGCUAAGUGGUAAGUGGAUAGAGUGCCAGACCUAGAGAUAGGAGGACUGGAUUCAAAUUUGACCUCAGAUUCUUCCUAGCUGUGUGACUCUGGGCAAGCCACUUAACCUCAUUUGCCUAGUCCUUGCCUUUAUGUCUUAGUAUUGUUAUUAAGACAGAAAGUAAGGGUUUAGAAAAGAAAAAAGCAUGGAGUCUUACACAUACAUACAUACAUAUGCAUGCACACACAUGCACACAGAGAAAUAUCAUGGUACAAUGGAAAAAAUUUUAUCUAGACUAGGAGUUAGGAAGACUGGAUUCUAGGUCCAGUUCUGCCACUACAGGUGUCUUUCACAUAGUAGGUACUUUUCAUUUGUUUGUUUUUGUCUUCAUCUGAACCAUGCAAACAAAUUAAUUCUCCUUUCUGGGCUUCAUUUUCUCUUCUUGUAAAAUGGGUGAGUUAUAAAGAAAUGAUCUCUAAGGUUCCUUCCAGCUCUAAAUUUCCAAGACUUUGGCAAGGUAUUUCAAAUUUCUUUACUUUUUAACUGUCUAGUCAACUGGCCAUGGGCAAGUCACUUAAUCUUUCACUGAUCCAGGCCUAAGAUUAACAGUUGCCAAGCAAGUACCUAUUUCCAUUACUAAAAGAGAUUUUCCCCAGUAUAAGUUAUAUCCACCAAACAAUUCACAGGUCUGGUCCAAGAAAAGGAGGAAAAAAAUACAUCAAGUAACUUGUUCAAAGGUUUAAGGGACCAUUUUGCUUUUUAACUAGUUAUUUAUUUCAUGCCCAUGGGCUAGCCCAGAUUCUGCCUCUCUGGGCUAUAAUUUUAGUCCCUUCCCUUCACUGACGGCACUCUAACUCAGGAGUUCUUAACAUUUUUUGAAUUAAGGGCUCAUUUGGAC
Monodelphis domestica (gray short-tailed opossum) is the source of this 2208-nucleotide long non-coding RNA. RefSeq lists it as uncharacterized. NCBI's taxonomy places the organism in Eukaryota, Metazoa, Chordata, Mammalia, Didelphimorphia, Didelphidae. The record is from RefSeq and is a predicted model, not a curated record.